AAGGGAGACCUAAUUCAGGUAUGGGACGAAAAAAAAGUAGUCGCUACCAAGAAUCAAUCCCAAAAGGUCGGAGCGAGGCGAAAUUGGCUUUCAAACUAGGUUCUGGGUUCACACAAGACCUGAAUCAGGAACAAGGGCUAUUAGCUCAGGUGGUUAGAGCGCACCCCUGAUAAGGGUGAGGUCCCUGGUUCGAGUCCAGGAUGGCCCACCUGCACAGGUGGCAAAAACAAGAGAAGCUCCGAAUCAGCACCUUAUCUUACUUAUAUAGUAAGAGAGAAUGCUGGCUCUGAGUUCAGAGUCCAGAGGAACCUUGAAAACUGCAUAGAGCUAGGUGAAAAAGCCAAAAAAGAAGACCGCAA
This 359-nucleotide transfer RNA is filed under the name uncultured cyanobacterium. RNAcentral describes it as "16S-23S ribosomal RNA intergenic spacer". The stretch from base 135 to 208 matches the Rfam family "tRNA". The record is from RNAcentral. Lineage: Bacteria; Bacillati; Cyanobacteriota. RNAcentral also lists the same sequence under 1 other name.